CCUACGGGUGGCAGCAGUGAGGAAUAUUGGUCAAUGGUCGUAAGACUGAACCAGCCAAGCCGCGUGAGGGAAGACUGUCCUAUGUGUCGUCAACCUCUUUUAUGCGGGGAUAAAGGCUUCCACGCGUGGCCGUUUGCAGGUACCGCAUGAAAAAGCAUCGGCUAAUUCCGUGCCAGCAGCCGCGGUAAUACGUAGGGUCCGGGCGUUAUCCGGAUUUAUUGGGUUUAAAGGGAGCGUAGAUGGUUAGGUAAGUCAGUUGUGAAAGUUUGCGGCUCAACCGUAAAAUUGCAAUUGAUACUGGCAGGCUUGAGUACAGUUGAGGUAGGCGGAAUUCGUGGUGUAGCGGUGAAAUGCGUAGAUAUCAGGAAGAACACCGAUGGCGAAGGCAGCUUACUAAACUGUGACUGACAUUGAGGCUCGAAGGUGUGGGGAGCAAACAGGAUUAGAUACCCCUGUAGUC
This 460-nucleotide ribosomal RNA is filed under the name uncultured bacterium. RNAcentral's name for it is "partial 16S ribosomal RNA". It matches the Rfam family "Bacterial small subunit ribosomal RNA", at positions 338 to 795 of the family's 1533-position model. The record is from RNAcentral.